UUGGAGGGCAAGUCUGGUGCCAGCAGCCGCGGUAAUUCCAGCUCCAAUAGCGUAUAUUAAGUUGUUGCAGUUAAAAAGCUCGUAGUUGAAUUUCGGGAUCAGCACGUUGGUCGUGCCAUUGGUAUGAACUGGCCUCGCUGAUUCCUCCCUCUUGAUGAACCGUAAUGCCAUUAAUUUGGGGUUGCGGGGAAUCAGGACUGUUACUUUGAAAAAAUUAAAGUGUUUAA
RNAcentral lists this ribosomal RNA (227 nucleotides) under uncultured Glomus. RNAcentral describes it as "partial small subunit ribosomal RNA". It matches the Rfam family "Eukaryotic small subunit ribosomal RNA", at positions 548 to 778 of the family's 1831-position model. The record is from RNAcentral. Lineage: Eukaryota; Fungi; Glomeromycota; Glomeromycetes; Glomerales; Glomeraceae.